GUUGAGGCAUCUAGUGAGGUAACGCCACCGAUCCAGGAGAAGCUGACGGGAGCUCUGUGGAGAGUUCUCUUUUCUUUAUGAAGGGCAGGGCGCCCUGGAAUGGCUUAGCCCCCCAAGCAUUGGAAAGCGUUGUGGUUCCGGUGGUGUCCAGUGAGCUCUCACUGGAUCUUGAAAAUCCGGGGAAGAGGCUGUAAAUCUUAC
This 201-nucleotide non-coding RNA is filed under the name Salmo salar (Atlantic salmon). RNAcentral's name for it is "Eukaryotic large subunit ribosomal RNA". It matches the Rfam family "Eukaryotic large subunit ribosomal RNA", at positions 1628 to 1837 of the family's 3401-position model. Lineage: Eukaryota; Metazoa; Chordata; Actinopteri; Salmoniformes; Salmonidae. The record is from Rfam by way of RNAcentral.